Molecule: long non-coding RNA, 211 nt
Organism: Cucurbita moschata (crookneck pumpkin)
Lineage: Eukaryota; Viridiplantae; Streptophyta; Magnoliopsida; Cucurbitales; Cucurbitaceae
Exons: 2
Source: RefSeq, a predicted model, not a curated record
AUUGGAAGCAACAUUGCUCAAACCCCGACCAUUGCACCAAUUGGAAGCAGCAUUGCUCUAACCCCGGAGGCUGCAUCCCCGGCCAUUACACCAAGUAGCACACAAGCUUGAGAGUAAUUGUUAAGCAUGGAUGUUUCUUUGGCUAUUAACAAAGAAAAACCUAAGCCAAACAACUAUUUUGUAGGCAAAUUCAUUAUUUCUAUAUUGUUUU